UCUGGAAACGGAUGCUAAUACCGCAUAUACCCUGAGGGGGAAAGAUUUAUCGCUUUAAGAUUGGCCCAUGGCAGAUUAGGUAGUUGGUGGGGUAAAGGCCUACCAAGCCGACGAUCUGUAGCUGGUCUGAGAGGACGAUCAGCCACAUUGGGACUGAGACACGGCCCAGACUCCUACGGGAGGCAGCAGUGAGGAAUAUUGGGCAAUGGGGGCAACCCUGACCCAGCCAUGCCGCGUGAGUGAAGAAGGUUUUCGAAUUGUAAAGCUCUUUCGGAUGUGACGAUGAUGACGGUAGCAUCUAAAGAAGCCCCGGCAAACUUCGUGCCAGCAGCCGCGGUAAUACGAAGGGGGCGAGCGUUGUUCGGAAUUACUGGGCGUAAAGGGUGUGUAGGUGGACGUGUAAGAUAGCGGUGAAAUGCCGGAGCUCAACUUCGGAAUUGCCAUUAUAACUAUGCGUCUAGAAUUAUAGAGAGGAUAGCGGAAUACCCAGUGUAGAGGUGAAAUUCGUAGAUAUUGGGUAGAACACCAGUGGCGAAGGCGGCUAUCUGGCUAUAUAUUGACACUGAGGCACGAAAGCAUGGGGAUCAAACAGGAUUAGAUACCCUGGUAGUCCAUGCCGUAAACGAUGAAUGCUGGUUGUCGGACGAAUGUUCGGUGACGAAGUUAACGCGAUAAGCAUUCCGCCUGGGGA
This 691-nucleotide ribosomal RNA is filed under the name uncultured bacterium. Its description in RNAcentral is "bacterial SSU rRNA". It matches the Rfam family "Bacterial small subunit ribosomal RNA", at positions 149 to 879 of the family's 1533-position model. The record is from RNAcentral.